AACAAAUGCCCUGCUUCCAGGAAAAGCCUCUAAGCAUCAGGUAACAUCAAAUCGUACCCCAAACCGACACAGGUGGUCAGGUAGAGAAUACCAAGGCGCUUGAGAGAACUCGGGUGAAGGAACUAGGCAAAAUGGUGCCGUAACUUCGGGAGAAGGCACGCUGAUAUGUAGGUGAAGCGACUUGCUCGUGGAGCUGAAAUCAGUCGAAGAUACCAGCUGGCUGCAACUGUUUAUUAAAAACACAGCACUGUGCAAACACGAAAGUGGACGUAUACGGUGUGACGCCUGCCCGGUGCCGGAAGGUUAAUUGAUGGGGUCAGCGCAAGCGAAGCUCUUGAUCGAAGCCCCGGUAAACGGCGGCCGUAACUAUAACGGUCCUAAGGUAGCGAAAUUCCUUGUCGGGUAAGUUCCGACCUGCACGAAUGGCGUAAUGAUGGCCAGGCUGUCUCCACCCGAGACUCAGUGAAAUUGAACUCGCUGUGAAGAUGCAGUGUACCCGCGGCAAGACGGAAAGACCCCGUGAACCUUUACUAUAGCUUGACACUGAACAUUGAGCCUUGAUGUGUAGGAUAGGUGGGAGGCUUUGAAGUGUGGACGCCAGUCUGCAUGGAGCCGACCUUGAAAUACCACCCUUUAAUGUUUGAUGUUCUAACGUUGACCCGUGAUCCGGGUUGCGGACAGUGUCUGGUGGGUAGUUUGACUGGGGCGGUCUCCUCCUAAAGAGUAACGGAGGAGCACGAAGGUUGGCUAAUCCUGGUCGGACAUCAGGAGGUUAGUGCAAUGGCAUAAGCCAGCUUGACUGCGAGCGUGACGGCGCGAGCAGGUGCGAAAGCAGGUCAUAGUGAUCCGGUGGUUCUGAAUGGAAGGGCCAUCGCUCAACGGAUAAAAGGUACUCCGGGGAUAACAGGCUGAUACCGCCCAAGAGUUCAUAUCGACGGCGGUGUUUGGCACCUCGAUGUCGGCUCAUCACAUCCUGGGGCUGAAGUAGGUCCCAAGGGUAUGGCUGUUCGCCAUUUAAAGUGGUACGCGAGCUGGGUUUAGAACGUCGUGAGACAGUUCGGUCCCUAUCUGCCGUGGGCGCUGGAGAACUGAGGGGGGCUGCUCCUAGUACGAGAGGACCGGAGUGGACGCAUCACUGGUGUUCGGGUUGUCAUGCCAAUGGCACUGCCCGGUAGCUAAAUGCGGAAGAGAUAAGUGCUGAAAGCAUCUAAGCACGAAACUUGCCCCGAGAUGAGUUCUCCCUGACCCUUUAAGGGUCCUGAAGGAACGUUGAAGACGACGACGUUGAUAGGCCGGGUGUGUAAGCGCAGCGAUGCGUUGAGCUAACCGGUACUAAUGAACCGUGAGGCUUAACCUUACAACGCCGAAGCUGUU
RNAcentral lists this ribosomal RNA (1374 nucleotides) under Escherichia coli. RNAcentral describes it as "partial 23S ribosomal RNA". It matches the Rfam family "Bacterial large subunit ribosomal RNA", at positions 1592 to 2925 of the family's 2925-position model. Lineage: Bacteria; Pseudomonadati; Pseudomonadota; Gammaproteobacteria; Enterobacterales; Enterobacteriaceae. The record is from RNAcentral.